RNAcentral lists this ribosomal RNA (253 nucleotides) under uncultured bacterium. RNAcentral describes it as "partial 16S ribosomal RNA". It matches the Rfam family "Bacterial small subunit ribosomal RNA", at positions 524 to 776 of the family's 1533-position model. The record is from RNAcentral.
CACGAACCGUACGAGCGUUAUUCGGAAUUACUGGGCUUAAAGGGUUUGUAGGCGGCCAUGUAAGUCGGGUGUGAAAUCCCUCGGCUCAACCGAGGAAUGGCGCCCGAUACUGCAUGGCUUGAGGGAGACAGGGGUAAGCGGAACUGAUGGUGGAGCGGUGAAAUGCGUUGAUAUCAUCAGGAACACCGGUGGCGAAAGCGGCUUACUGGGUCUCAUCUGACGCUGAGGAACGAAAGCUAGGGGAGCGAACGGG